UUAAGCGACUAAGCGUACACGGUGGAUGCCCUGGCAGUCAGAGGCGAUGAAGGACGUGCUAAUCUGCGAUAAGCGUCGGUAAGGUGAUAUGAACCGUUAUAACCGGCGAUUUCCGAAUGGGGAAACCCAGUGUGUUUCGACACACUAUCAUUAACUGAAUCCAUAGGUUAAUGAGGCGAACCGGGGGAACUGAAACAUCUAAGUACCCCGAGGAAAAGAAAUCAACCGAGAUUCCCCCAGUAGCGGCGAGCGAACGGGGAGCAGCCCAGAGCCUGAAUCAGUGUGUGUGUUAGUGGAAGCGUCUGGAAAGGCGCGCGAUACAGGGUGACAGCCCCGUACACAAAAAUGCACAUGCUGUGAGCUCGAUGAGUAGGGCGGGACACGUGGUAUCCUGUCUGAAUAUGGGGGGACCAUCCUCCAAGGCUAAAUACUCCUGACUGACCGAUAGUGAACCAGUACCGUGAGGGAAAGGCGAAAAGAACCCCGGCGAGGGGAGUGAAAAAGAACCUGAAACCGUGUACGUACAAGCAGUGGGAGCCUCUUUUAUGGGGUGACUGCGUACCUUUUGUAUAAUGGGUCAGCGACUUAUAUUCUGUAGCAAGGUUAACCGAAUAGGGGAGCCGAAGGGAAACCGAGUCUUAACUGGGCGUUAAGUUGCAGGGUAUAGACCCGAAACCCGGUGAUCUAGCCAUGGGCAGGUUGAAGGUUGGGUAACACUAACUGGAGGACCGAACCGACUAAUGUUGAAAAAUUAGCGGAUGACUUGUGGCUGGGGGUGAAAGGCCAAUCAAACCGGGAGAUAGCUGGUUCUCCCCGAAAGCUAUUUAGGUAGCGCCUCGUGAAUUCAUCUCCGGGGGUAGAGCACUGUUUCGGCAAGGGGGUCAUCCCGACUUACCAACCCGAUGCAAACUGCGAAUACCGGAGAAUGUUAUCACGGGAGACACACGGCGGGUGCUAACGUCCGUCGUGAAGAGGGAAACAACCCAGACCGCCAGCUAAGGUCCCAAAGUCAUGGUUAAGUGGGAAACGAUGUGGGAAGGCCCAGACAGCCAGGAUGUUGGCUUAGAAGCAGCCAUCAUUUAAAGAAAGCGUAAUAGCUCACUGGUCGAGUCGGCCUGCGCGGAAGAUGUAACGGGGCUAAACCAUGCACCGAAGCUGCGGCAGCGACGCUUAUGCGUUGUUGGGUAGGGGAGCGUUCUGUAAGCCUGUGAAGGUGUGCUGUGAGGCAUGCUGGAGGUAUCAGAAGUGCGAAUGCUGACAUAAGUAACGAUAAAGCGGGUGAAAAGCCCGCUCGCCGGAAGACCAAGGGUUCCUGUCCAACGUUAAUCGGGGCAGGGUGAGUCGACCCCUAAGGCGAGGCCGAAAGGCGUAGUCGAUGGGAAACAGGUUAAUAUUCCUGUACUUGGUGUUACUGCGAAGGGGGGACGGAGAAGGCUAUGUUGGCCGGGCGACGGUUGUCCCGGUUUAAGCGUGUAGGCUGGUUUUCCAGGCAAAUCCGGAAAAUCAAGGCUGAGGCGUGAUGACGAGGCACUACGGUGCUGAAGCAACAAAUGCCCUGCUUCCAGGAAAAGCCUCUAAGCAUCAGGUAACAUCAAAUCGUACCCCAAACCGACACAGGUGGUCAGGUAGAGAAUACCAAGGCGCUUGAGAGAACUCGGGUGAAGGAACUAGGCAAAAUGGUGCCGUAACUUCGGGAGAAGGCACGCUGAUAUGUAGGUGAAGCGACUUGCUCGUGGAGCUGAAAUCAGUCGAAGAUACCAGCUGGCUGCAACUGUUUAUUAAAAACACAGCACUGUGCAAACACGAAAGUGGACGUAUACGGUGUGACGCCUGCCCGGUGCCGGAAGGUUAAUUGAUGGGGUUAGCGCAAGCGAAGCUCUUGAUCGAAGCCCCGGUAAACGGCGGCCGUAACUAUAACGGUCCUAAGGUAGCGAAAUUCCUUGUCGGGUAAGUUCCGACCUGCACGAAUGGCGUAAUGAUGGCCAGGCUGUCUCCACCCGAGACUCAGUGAAAUUGAACUCGCUGUGAAGAUGCAGUGUACCCGCGGCAAGACGGAAAGACCCCGUGAACCUUUACUAUAGCUUGACACUGAACAUUGAGCCUUGAUGUGUAGGAUAGGUGGGAGGCUUUGAAGUGUGGACGCCAGUCUGCAUGGAGCCGACCUUGAAAUACCACCCUUUAAUGUUUGAUGUUCUAACGUUGACCCGUGAUCCGGGUUGCGGACAGUGUCUGGUGGGUAGUUUGACUGGGGCGGUCUCCUCCUAAAGAGUAACGGAGGAGCACGAAGGUUGGCUAAUCCUGGUCGGACAUCAGGAGGUUAGUGCAAUGGCAUAAGCCAGCUUGACUGCGAGCGUGACGGCGCGAGCAGGUGCGAAAGCAGGUCAUAGUGAUCCGGUGGUUCUGAAUGGAAGGGCCAUCGCUCAACGGAUAAAAGGUACUCCGGGGAUAACAGGCUGAUACCGCCCAAGAGUUCAUAUCGACGGCGGUGUUUGGCACCUCGAUGUCGGCUCAUCACAUCCUGGGGCUGAAGUAGGUCCCAAGGGUAUGGCUGUUCGCCAUUUAAAGUGGUACGCGAGCUGGGUUUAGAACGUCGUGAGACAGUUCGGUCCCUAUCUGCCGUGGGCGCUGGAGAACUGAGGGGGGCUGCUCCUAGUACGAGAGGACCGGAGUGGACGCAUCACUGGUGUUCGGGUUGUCAUGCCAAUGGCACUGCCCGGUAGCUAAAUGCGGAAGAGAUAAGUGCUGAAAGCAUCUAAGCACGAAACUUGCCCCGAGAUGAGUUCUCCCUGACUCCUUGAGAGUCCUGAAGGAACGUUGAAGACGACGACGUUGAUAGGCCGGGUGUGUAAGCGCAGCGAUGCGUUGAGCUAACCGGUACUAAUGAACCGUGAGGCUUAACCUU
Molecule: ribosomal RNA, 2902 nt
Filed under: Escherichia coli TW10598
Lineage: Bacteria; Pseudomonadati; Pseudomonadota; Gammaproteobacteria; Enterobacterales; Enterobacteriaceae
Description: bacterial LSU rRNA
Rfam family: Bacterial large subunit ribosomal RNA
Source: RNAcentral